Molecule: ribosomal RNA, 412 nt
Filed under: uncultured Comamonadaceae bacterium
Lineage: Bacteria; Pseudomonadati; Pseudomonadota; Betaproteobacteria; Burkholderiales; Comamonadaceae
Description: partial 16S ribosomal RNA
Rfam family: Bacterial small subunit ribosomal RNA
Source: RNAcentral
CCUACGGGAGGCUGCAGUGGGGAAUUUUGGACAAUGGGCGCAAGCCUGAUCCAGCCAUUCCGCGUGCUGGAUGAAGGCCUUCGGGUUGUAAACUGCUUUUGUACGGAACGAAAAGGCUCUGGCUAAUACCUGGGGCUCAUGACGGUACCGUAAGAAUAAGCACCGGCUAACUACGUGCCAGCAGCCGCGGUAAUACGUAGGGUGCGAGCGUUAAUCGGAAUUACUGGGCGUAAAGCGUGCGCAGGCGGUUAUGUAAGACAGAGGGAAAAUCCCCGGGCUCAACCUGGAAACUGCCUUUGUGACUGCAUGACUAGAGUCCGGCAGAGGGGGAGGAAAUUCCGCGUGUAGCAGUAAAAUGCGUAGAGAUGCGGAGGAACACCGAGGGCGAAGGCAAUCCCCUGGGCCUGUACUG